GGUUGGAUGGCUAGACAGGAAUGGCUAGCUUGGGACUUGAACACCGCCUACUGCCUCAGGAGUAAAUUGUUCCUGGAGAGGAAGGAAGCCAGUGGACAGGGGAACGCUGUGCGGAGACCAGCACUCUCGAUAUCCAUGACAUAUCAAGCCCGGAGUGUGCCAGGCGCCUGUUGUUGCAAUGAACACCAGAAUCAACCGUUAGCCAGAAUCCUGCCUGUAGCCGGAAUCCAUGACCCUGAGCUCGGAGGCCAUCUCUCUGAAGAGGACGAGGCUGGGCAUGAUGAAGUUCCCUGGGCCUCAUCCAUAAAAAGCUCCAGCACGAUUCACCCUCUUUCUGUUGAAAACUAGGGAAGCAGAGUGCAGGAAGGAAGAACCAAGCUAAAACAGCUCCUCCUUGCCUCUCUGGAUUUUCUUCCAAAAUGCUGUCAGCAUUGCCAGUUGGAAAAUAUUCUUCUCCCUCCCUUUGUCUUCUUUCUUAUUAAAAAAAAAAAAAAAAAAGCCAUCUGGUGUCAAAUUCACUCCUGGCACAUCAUAAAGGGUAGCACUAAAAAUGUCCCUGAAAAACUAAAAGCAAAACCACAGCCUUACAACAUGAAUUUAAUCGCAGCAUCCCAUAAUUUCAGAGUUGCUAGGAGCCCGGAGAUCAAACCCUUCCGGUACAUAGGAGGAAACUGAGGUGGAGAGCCAUUAGAUCAUUCAAAACGGUUUAUUGUGCACCUACUAUGUUCAAAACCACCCCGCGUGCUUGAGAUAGACGGUUAGUUUGAAGCCAC
This 773-nucleotide long non-coding RNA is filed under the name Rattus norvegicus (Norway rat). RNAcentral's name for it is "long non-coding RNA NONRATT033543". The record is from RNAcentral. Lineage: Eukaryota; Metazoa; Chordata; Mammalia; Rodentia; Muridae.